AGAGGCUCCAAUAGAAAGGCAAACGGAUCAUGUUGGUCAAAGUCAAGUUCAGAGGCAUCCAGAAAUUCAUCAGCAUUUCUGAAGCCAAGAUCAGUGAACUGCUUGAGUGUGCAUUCCAGAAGUUUUGUUUGUCAAGACUGUCAAGACAUCUCCCUCAGCCAAUUGCCUAAUGCAAAGCUCUUUAAUGACUCUAAAACUGAGGUUGACCAGGAGGUGUUUGGAGAAGUGAUUGGUGCAAAUACUGGUGUUUAUGAGCUAUCCAUUGAUGGUGUCUCUGAAGGAGACCUUGGAGGUGCUCUUUUACCUGAUUGGAUGAAAAUGGUUGUCUUUACGUAAAAUAUGAACUUUACGUAAAAUAUUGCUAUGCCGGUUUUGUUUCUGAGGCACCAGCUGUUGGCCAGUCGACACCAGCUGUAAGUCAAGAGGACUCUGAUACUGACUCUACUCUCAUUCUGAGCGAUGAAAGUCCCCAGCGGAAACGGUCAAGACCAAAUAGGUCUGAGGCCCAUGCAACUCUACCUGCUCCCUGCAAAGUUCUAUUUUCCCAACACAGUAAUCUGAUGGCAACCGGCAGAAGCUCUUAAUUAAUGCGCAAAAGUCUCCUGGAUCCAUUCACUUCAAGUUUAGUGUCAUGUUCUCAAGUAAGCAUUUAUCAGCAAGUCCUCCAUCCUGCUGUCUUGAGUUUUGCUGAAAAGACGUUUAAGCUAAAUAAAUUCAUGUGUAUGCGGUAGUCAUGUGCGAUGAAGUUGUUUUCCUAGUUGGGUGACGAAACACUUCGCAAGAAACCUGGUGGUGAUAAUGUCAUUAGGGAGUAUGACAGAACAAAAAUGUUGUCAGACAGCACACGGCGGAAAAUGGUGAACAUUCUAGUAGCUGAAAUGAUGAAGAAGCA
RNAcentral lists this long non-coding RNA (892 nucleotides) under Gadus morhua (Atlantic cod). RNAcentral's name for it is "lncRNA (ENSGMOG00000035552.1)". Lineage: Eukaryota; Metazoa; Chordata; Actinopteri; Gadiformes; Gadidae. The record is from RNAcentral.